CGCGAGGGGAGCCCGGCGCGAGGGGAGCACGGAACGCUGGCGCCGUGCUCCUGCCUCUUCAUCCUGUGCCCCUCUGAGCAGCACUGGCGUCCGUCAUGGACCCCCACACGGAUACCGCCUUCGCAGAGCGCCCGGAAGCGAGAGGAACUGAUAGAAGUCGUUAAGAUUGCAAAGACUAGGUUGUAUGAAGUCCUGCCCAAGCCAUCACUGAAAACAUUCCACUUUACUCUUCUGAUUUCAAGAAGGGUAACAGAGCAAUAUCCGAAGUGAUAGAUGUCGAUGCUACUGAACAUGCCACUCAGAGCUAAGGCAAGCACCAGAAUUCUUCACCUCCUCCCACCACUAAAACCCAGCCGUGGGCAUCUUCACUCCCCUGCAGCCUUCAAACACACCACACACAGCCAAAAGGAGAGAAAGAAAGAAGAUAAACCAGGAGAGAAGGAAGCAGCAAAGAAGAAAUGGAUAAGUGAAGAGAGG
This 477-nucleotide long non-coding RNA is filed under the name Chloebia gouldiae (Gouldian finch). RNAcentral describes it as "Erythrura gouldiae (Gouldian finch) lncRNA (ENSEGOG00005016834.1)". The record is from RNAcentral. Lineage: Eukaryota; Metazoa; Chordata; Aves; Passeriformes; Passeridae.